This 245-nucleotide ribosomal RNA is filed under the name uncultured bacterium. RNAcentral's name for it is "partial 16S ribosomal RNA". It matches the Rfam family "Bacterial small subunit ribosomal RNA", at positions 524 to 767 of the family's 1533-position model. The record is from RNAcentral. RNAcentral also lists the same sequence under 1 other name.
UACGUAGGGGCCUAGCGUUGUCCGGAAUCAUUGGGCGUAAAGAGCUCGUAGGCGGUUCGGCAAGUCACGUGUGAAAUCUCCACGCUUAACGUGGAGGCGCCACGUGAAACUGCCGUGACUCGAGUCCGGUAGGGGAGUGUGGAAUUCCCGGUGUAGCGGUGAAAUGCGCAGAUAUCGGGAGGAACACCAGUAGCGAAGGCGGCACUCUGGGCCGGUACUGACGCUGAGGAGCGAAAGCGUGGGGA